AGAGUUUGAUCCUGGCUCAGAUUGAACGCUGGCGGCAUGCCUUACACAUGCAAGUCGAACGGCAGCACGGGGGGUAACCCCUGGUGGCGAGUGGCGAACGGGUGAGUAAUAUAUCGGAACGUGUCCUGUAGCGGGGGAUAACCUAUCGAAAGAUGGACUAAUACCGCAUACGACCUAUGGGUGAAAGCGGAGGACCGCAAGGCUUCGCACUAUAGGAGCGGCCGAUAUCGGAUUAGCUAGUUGGUGGGGUAACGGCCUACCAAGGCGACGAUCCGUAGCUGGUCUGAGAGGACGAUCAGCCACACUGGAACUGAGACACGGUCCAGACUCCUACGGGAGGCAGCAGUGGGGAAUUUUGGACAAUGGGCGCAAGCCUGAUCCAGCCAUGCCGCGUGAGUGAAGAAGGCCUUCGGG
Molecule: ribosomal RNA, 414 nt
Filed under: uncultured bacterium
Lineage: Bacteria
Description: bacterial SSU rRNA
Rfam family: Bacterial small subunit ribosomal RNA
Source: RNAcentral